RNAcentral lists this ribosomal RNA (482 nucleotides) under uncultured bacterium. RNAcentral's name for it is "bacterial SSU rRNA". It matches the Rfam family "Bacterial small subunit ribosomal RNA", at positions 30 to 506 of the family's 1533-position model. The record is from RNAcentral.
UUGAACGCUGGCGGCAUGCUUUACACAUGCAAGUCGAACGGCAGCACGGGGGCAACCCUGGUGGCGGGUGGCGAACGGGUGAGUAAUAUAUCGGAACAUGUCCGGAAGUGGGGGAUAACGUAGCGAAAGUUACGCUAAUACCGCAUAUGCCCUGAGGGGGAAAGGGGGGGAUCGCAAGACCUCUCGCUUUCGGAGUGGCCGAUAUCGGAUUAGCUAGUUGGUGAGGUAAAGGCUCACCAAGGCGACGAUCCGUAGCUGGUCUGAGAGGACGACCAGCCACACUGGGACUGAGACACGGCCCAGACUCCUACGGGAGGCAGCAGUGGGGAAUUUUGGACAAUGGGGGCAACCCUGAUCCAGCCAUGCCGCGUGAGUGAAGAAGGCCUUAGGGUUGUAAAGUUCUUUUGUCAGGGAAGAAAGUUUCUGUGCUAAUACCAUAGAACGAUGACGGUACCUGAAGAAUAAGCACCGGCUAACUACGU